UUUCUUAGUUUUAUUCUGUAUUGUUACAAUCUCAUUUGGUGUCUCAAUUAUGUAUAGACAGGCACAAGCUGCAAAUUCAGAUCAAAAAUCCAGCGAUGUUUGUGUCCUAUGGGCUUGUCUGCCUUGGUUUGUUUGUACCACUACAACUAUAUAAAUAGAUGAAGGAUAAGUGACAAAUACUUUUGUAGGCGUAUCCGUGUGCCCACAUUUGAGGGUUAUUCCAUACCAUUUAAAGCUGCUUUAGUAGUGCCAAAGUUAGUGUGUAAACAUGAGAGCUAUGCAAUUGUCUGGUACAGGCAUGCUCACAUGCAGCCAAAGUCCAAUUUAGGAUUUUUAUCCCUUUUGUAUCUGAAGAGGCAUCAAUCCCACAUUUCCCUUCCAUGAACUCAGUGGGGUCUUUGUUAAUUUUGACAUAAAUCUUCAGCCUCAUCUUUGGCAUAAGUCUUCAGGCCUGAUGUAUGAGGAAAGAGGGAGUAAUAGAAGCAAGAGACACAAAACACAGCUCAUGGUAUGCACAGAACUUCUGUAAGAUUGUUCUCUGUUUUGGAACAAGGUGUGAAGCUGAUGCAGAAAAAAUAGGAAAUCGCCAGAAUUUAUGCUGAAAUCUCAUAUCUCCCUGCUGGUCUGCUGUGUGUUCACUGCAGUUGGGUUUGGAAGUUUGGGGCUGUUGGCUUUUUAAAGUAGGAAAAUGGUUCUGUUGUCUUCUGCAAGUGAAACACUUGUGUUAUUCCAGAAGUGGGAAUGAGUUUGGCUCAUGAGAGAUGUCCUGUGCUUGUAGUUAUGGAAACCUUGUGCUUCUGGAGGUCUUUUAAUAUACACCUACAUCUGCCAGUCAAGCAAGAAGCACUGGCAGAACAGGCUUUCUUGAGACUAUCUAGGAAGUCCAACAUCUAAUAUUCAUGAACUUGAAAAGGCACUGACAUGUGAAUUAAAAAAUUAGUCAAAUCUUUCAAACAUCAGGACUGUUCAGUAGAAUAGGGGAUCCUAGAGGGAUCAGUUUGUCUAGGCUUUAUUUUGCCAUGCUCUGCCAUCAUUUUUUUGCAAUGCAAGGCAAAGGACAAGUCUCCAUGCCCAAGACAUGCAGCACUUUGCUGUCUUGGGUUUUGAGGAGCAGCUCAUGCCACCAGGACCCUCUGAAAGGUUCUAGACCACACAGUCCAUGAAUAAAAAAAUUGUGCGGAGCAGUACAGUUGGGAAUCCCACCAGAGAACAGUGAAAACCCUGUGAGUGCAGGGGUCUGGGGACUGCAGGGGUGAGAAAGGCUCCUGGGAAGUGAGUGAGUCAGGAACUGGGAGCCUGCAGGGCUGCUCAUUCUAGCUCUGCUUCUCAGCUUCACUUUCCAUUUGCAAAAGGCUGGCAGCAGGCAUACGUCGCUCUUAAUCUUUCUUUUGCAUCCGUGUUUUUGCCUUUGUCAGAGCACCGUAUUAUGCGAAUUGGAAUUAAGCAAUUAAGGCGAUAAUGUUUCCCUUGAAGAGUUUGACAAGGCAGAAGGAACACAGUCUACUUUUCAUACAAGCCUUUGGUGGCAUAUUUAUCUAAAAGCAACAGGAAGAAAGAAAUGGACAUUGGUACACACGCACAUACCAGCUUUGUGACCAAGCCACCCUUCCCUCCCUGUGCAUCCCACCUUCUUACUUGUCCCAUAACACCUCAGAGGUCUUAGGUCCUCAGAGAGGCUGCUCACUUGCCACCCUCAGCACAGAGGACUCAAAGGAAGGGUCUGCCACAGCCUGUAACAAAACUGGAUCUUAAACAGAUGUUUAAAGGUCCAGCCCAACACCAUACUUCAUGCUUCAGAGCAAGGGCUUUUGUCUCUGACUCGUGGAUUGCACUUUCAUAGCUUUGCAAGGCUGGUGUGUGGGGAUGAGGAGGGGGAAUGUUGCUGUCAGCUGCUGGGAGACAAAUGUUCAGAGCUGUUCUCUGAGAGCAGUUUUUUGACUUUGCAACUUAGCUGGCAUCUUGUGUGAAUUCUUCCCAUCAGAGAUCCUCUUGUUCUAAAAGAGAUUUUCCAAUCUUCCUUCGUUUAGAUUUGCAAUGACUUUGUGAGAAAGGAGAGGGUUAUGCUAUUGAACGGUUUUGCCACUGAUUUUUAUGUCACAGUCAAAGAUGGGCUAAACUGAGGCUGCAAGUCUCAAUUGCCUUGGAAGCCAAGGUGCUGGGAAACUAGUCUGACCUCUGGAGAGUCAUGCUGCUGGUGCCUCUGCACCUUCCCUCUGUUUAGCAGAUGAGGUGGUGCCUUUUAACGCUGUUGAUAAGACAUAAAAUUCACUUUGAGUCAGUAAUUGUGCUAAGGAUCAGACCCAGGGGUACAAAUGUAAGAUUCUGAAAAAUGGCAUUGUUUUGAAUUAGCUUCACCCUGUGAUUUUUUUUCUUUCCUUGGGAUGUGGUUGGUCACCCAUGCUUUAAACCUGCUUAGCUGUUGUCAGAAGCUUAACAUUUUUUGCAUUUCCUAGAGGUCUCAGGAGGGAAAGGAGCAGAGAAUGGGGAGUUACUGGUUUGUUGCCAGUGGAGGUACACAGGGCCUCAUUCACUACUGCUCCAUUAUACCCAGAGUCACACUGGCAUAAAAAGAUGAGUCAGAGGCAGUGACUCAGGCUCCAGUGCUCUAAAUAGUCAGCAGAAGUGGCAAGCCUAGUCCCAAGUGGCACUAAUGACUGAAAGAGAGUUUAAAAAGUGUGUGGCAUAAUGUAGUGUAUUCCUCAGCUCACACAGGCACACAGGGAAUCAUUACCAGAUAGAGAUAAUUGGGUGAUUGUGUAACAGAGUGGUCACAUACACUGAUCUAUAGUAGUGCAUGGGAGGAUUAGGUUCACUUUGAAACCUCUUCCCAAGUUAUAUGAGCUAAAAUGAAGGCAGGCCCACUCAGGGCAGAUUGCUGGAAGCUGAGAGGAUAUUGUGGGGAUGGAUAACCCCUUUACUUUAAGCAUACUUCACUGCCCACUUUCAGGAAAAAGGAUUAUGGAGGCCCUUGUUUCAAGCCAGCAGGGCUCAUCUUAAGCUAAGUUGCUAGGUAGGGGUGUAAUGAGAUAAUUCAGACAGUCUGAGACCACUCUUUGCUUAUGUAAAGUAGCAUUCAUGUGGAAGCAAAAUUGUCCCAGUUGGCAUCCAUGUCAAAAGCUGCUCUCUUUACGUCUCCAUCUUGCCUGGUCACUUCCUAGAGAGGUCAGCUGAGCUUAUUCUCAGUAGCAGUUGUUUGGGCUGAAUUAGUACUCAAGGAAGCAUUGGCUCAAUCGAUCCAGAUAACUCUAUCUAGCCUUUGUUUAAACAAGGCCACAAGUUCUCACCGCCUCUAUAUCAUUUAUCUGCUGCAUAGUUCAGCAGCCAAGCUGUGUUUGUGGAGACAGGCAAAAAAAAAAAAAAACAAAAAGAGAAAAAAAUAUCCCACAACAGCUAAAGGUAAAUACCCAUUUCUUCUUUCAUUCAGGACAGUUACAGGAAAUAUUUUGUGGGUACUAUCCAGCCUUGGUCCCCUUCAUCCCUUUGCCUUGCUUGCCUAUAACUACCAAGCCCCGGUUUUGAUUUCAAUUGCUCUUUUUAUCUCUCUAGCUGAGGGUUGCCCCACAUUCCCCUCCCUUUCUCCGGCUGUUUUAAUGAGCUUGCAUUUUCAUGAAAGGCCAGAUCUGAUCGUGACUUGAAUGGCAGCUGCCAAACAGAGCUCUUAGUUUCAAACUCAGCAAGAAAAUGGCUUUGCCUCCCCCCAGAGCAGCUUAUGUACUUGAGAGCCUCAGUCAUUAUGAGCAAUUUCUAUUACGAGCUGAGUACCUUUUGUGUUCCUUGGGGUCUGCUCACACCAGUGAAGAUUAUGCCUUCUCUGUGUUUUGAACUAACAUCAGCAAAGAUUACACAAGUAUGCUGUGAAGAAUGUGACUACAGUUCUCACCCUGGAAGUCUGGUUUUUGCUGCUGGUUUGCUAGGAUAUUCCCCCUCCCUUAUUAAUAUACUUAUAUUAAAAAAAAAAAAAAAAAAAAAAAAAAAAAAAAAAAAGUUGAGUUUUUUACUUCUUCUGAAAACCUCUUCCAUUUUCUUUAUGCCUGGCAGACCUUCUCUGUGUGCUUGGCUUUUCACUGGACUGGAAGCAUUCAAAGGGUAAACACCAUGAAGGACAUGAGGAGUUUUUGGGUUUUUCUGGGGGAGGCAGGGGGCUGGUUCAAGGCUAUGUAAUUGUAAGAUGUGAGGUGUCAUUACCAAAAGAAGACAUGCUAAGGUGCCCUGAUACCCUGAUGAUGAGAUUGCAUUAAGUCCUGGCAGGAGGUCUCCAAGAAGAGGGAGAGAGGUCUCUUCUUACACCAGUUGAAGCCAGUAUGUGUGAUGGGAGGUGACAGGAGAACCCACAGUGAAUGGGUGGGACUUUUUCUGUCAAAGAGGACAGGGAAAGUGAAUCCAGUUCUUCUGCAACUUCCUCAGCCACAGCAGCUGGGCAAUCACAGAGGUGAAUUUGGGCACAGUGUGCACUCCAGCAAAGAGCCUUAGGAGAAGGCACUAUUAGGAAUUGUUCCCAAGUACCACUAUUGUCCUGGCACAGUCCAGUGACCCCUCUGACUUCUGAAGAGCAGAGAAUGAUUAGGAUGUGUUGCAGCCUGCAAGAAGAGAUUAUGUUUUCUCCUUCACCCCAUGCGUCAAGCCCCACAACUGAACCUGUGGCUUAUAGCUGCCACAGCUUUUAAAGUGAUAGGAAAUGAAGCAGCUGAGGGGAUGAGGGAUAAAAAGCGUACCAUGUUUAUCUUCUGCCUUUUUAGUAUGGCAGUGCUUUCAGAGACUUCACAGGUGCAUGAGUUCUGGGCAAAGAUAAGGUGCAUGUAAAGAGGCAUUUCUUGUCUAAGGUGUUUUGCAGUUCUGUGUAUUGGAAAAGGGAAGUCAGGAAAGCUACAAGAGACAUCUUCAGUAAAGAAGAUGGUACUAAAGACAUGAGAGAAGAACUGCAGGUGAAUACUCAAGGAAAGUAUCAUCUAUGGUUUACUUCUAGGCAUCCCUUGGCAUGAGCUUUUGGUCACUGUGGGAAGCAAGACACAAAGCUAAACAGAGUUAUUUGUUUAACCUGUACAAUAGCUUUUCUCUUCUGUUCUAUGUCAGGCUUGGCCUCCAUGGCCCCCUGGGAAGCAAAUGGAUCUUUGAUCUCUAUUCACAUCAAUGGGGAAGUCACCAAUGCCUUUUUUUCUCAAGUUUAAAGUAAUAUUCAAUCACAUGUGAAAAUACUAGCACUUCAAAUUCACAACCGGAGUUUUGGCUCUCUUAUAAUUUGCUCUGUGCCUGGCAUGUUUCUUCACGGCAGUGUCCCAUUCCAUGAACAGUUCUUCAGUCAUAUUAAGGCAGUAAAAUAUAGAUGAGGAAAUCUUACAGAUGAGAAAUUCUCUUUUGGUGGCUUUUUUAUUUGGCCACAGUAAAUGAUGAUGCAAACUGAAAGACUUCAGAUUUUGGUUUCUCACCUUUGAUUUUUGCACCUAAUCUCUGCAGCUUCAUCUGAUCGGGCAAUGUAGGAAAUCUCCCCUCUAGGCCAUUUCUCACCUUGUAUGAAGUAUUUAUAUCACUCUCUGAUCCAUUUUAUCAACAUGCCAGAAACAUUUAGGCCAUUGUUCUACCAUGUUCCUGGAAUAGCAUGGGUCCUAUUACUCCUGAACUGUUUUGCAAGGAAGCAGCCAGCGCAUGGGACCCUAAGUAACCUGACCAAGCCGGUCAAGUCAGUAGCAGAGCUGAGCUCUGAUCAUGCAUCCCCAAGGCCUGUAUUUGUGUUUCUCUCCUGAGAGAAAAUCCAUGAGCCCUACAGUCUUUUCCAGCAUUCACUUGAGUAUGCCUGCUUCCAGCAGCUCCUCCAACAUUUGAACCCCAUGCAUCAGGAAAGUAGAGUGGCCCCGUUUAUUCCCAUUAACAUGCAGGCACACACUGUUUGUCUCCCUCUGGGAACAUGAUGGGAAGAGUUUUAGUGUCAGGAAAAAUAGUAAUGAUAAUAAUAAUAACAACAGCAAUAAUAAGCAGAAAACCUUCCAGGUGUCAACUCCAUAUUUUCUGGGGCCUGGUUAAGUUGUCUGGAGCAUAGCACUCCAUCACUUUUCUCAGCAGGGUAUAGAUGCUCAUAACUUGAAGGUUUUAUCUCUGGGCUUCCUGUAUUAAAAAGGAGAAAGGAGGCAAAUCUUGCAUUCCAUGUAAGCAUAGAUGUUUAAUUAAGUAUCAUGUUUAGUUGUUCCAGACUCCUUCUUGACAGUUGCUGCAUUUUGAAAAUUGUCUCCUUGUUUUUAGUAUUGAAAAGAUAAAAAACAUCUGACUUAAAUGGUGUCUGUCCUGUGUGUCCCUCUGCACCUUGGAGUGACCUGUGCUCCAGGACUGAUGCACAGGUCCUGCUAGCAUGCAUUUGCAUUACUCUAGUGCAUGCUGCAUUUCACAUUAGUCUUAGGGUGAAAGUGUUCCGCUUUCUCUGUUCUGCUUCCAGUUGCCCUUUCUGUAUCCUAAGUCCAACCUGCCUUCUGCCCGCUCUGUGGCAUUUGUUUUUAGGUCUCUCCUCUUUCUUUUUUCUUGCUUCUUUAGGACUGGGGAAAAAAGCAAACUGCACCUUGGAGAAAUUAGUUUUCUGGGCUUUUCUUACACUGCCUUUCUUGCAAAGAUCUCAGAUCACCUGCAUCUUUCAAGAAUUAAUAAUAUAAAGCUUGCUUGCCCCUCUGCAAGACUGACCAGUUUUAUUAUCGUUGUAUGAAAUUAGCAGUCUCUUUGAAGUCUACUUAAUCUACUUUGGGACUGUGACACCUUGCAUACAGAUCCUAAGCAACACAUUCCAGGAACUAGAAAACCAGAGAGAUUGGUCAGAGUGCAGUACCUUCAGCCCACAAUCUGCCAAUCCACCUGUCAUUCCCUCCUGUGCUCCCAGAGUCACAUCCCAUGCCAUCAGGGACAUAGAGGUGUGGUUAAAACUGGUUCAUCCAGAGGCCUGGUGUUGACAGAACUUAAAGUGCCUGCCCUGUGUGUGCAAACUACUCUUGCCUUUGCCAGGAGCUCCUCUGGAUGGGGAAGAGCUGGGGUUGCCCAUGGGUCUUUUUGCAGCAUGCCCACCCCAGCCACUGCCAGCCACAUAUCACUUCCCCGCUCAGUCACUAGACAGUCACCACUCUCCAUAUCAUAGGUCUGUGGCCUUGGGACUUCUCAGGGACAUUUUGCUGAUUUUGACUGGAGUACACUUAAAUUGUAUUCCCAGUGCCUGCUAAGAAGCUGCAUUUUGGAUUUGUGCUGAACACAAGGCCGAUGAUAUAGAGAUACUUUUCUUAGUGCUAAGCAGGGCUCACACAGAGCUAAGGCUUUUCCUGCUCCUUGUACUUUCAUGCUGCAAGGAAGUGGGGGGUGCUUGCGAAACUGGGAGAAGACACAGCCAGGACAAGUGGCCCAAACUGACCAGAAGGAUAUUCCAUUCCCUAUGACAUCAUGUUCAGUAUAUAACAGCUGAAGGAAGAAAGAAGAAGGGAAGGACAUUUGGAAUGACGGUUCUUGUCUUCCCAAGUAACUGUUAGAUGAGAUGGGGCCCUGCUCUCCUGAGGAUAGCUGAACACCUGCCAGCCCAUGGGAAUGCUCCAAAAGACCAUGAGGAACCAGCAUCCCAGCCUGGCUGGAAUCAGGUGCAUUUUAGUCUCUUGGUCUCACAGUGGCAGGUACCACCAUGGCCUGUUGAAGCACAGACUCUGCUACCCACAGCACAGGGAGACUUUAUAAUUCCGUGGCUACAGCAACCCUACAGUUCAAAUAUAAAGGGGGACCUAUGGCAGGAGACCACAAGAGCAGAGGCAGGAUAGAAAUGCAAGGGGAGGUGAAAGAGAGAGACAAUAGUUAAAAUAAAAAAGAAAGAUAAAGAGUGA
Long non-coding RNA from Passer domesticus (house sparrow), 7829 nucleotides. RefSeq lists it as uncharacterized. Lineage: Eukaryota; Metazoa; Chordata; Aves; Passeriformes; Passeridae. The record is from RefSeq and is a predicted model, not a curated record. The transcript is spliced from 2 exons.